RNAcentral lists this long non-coding RNA (260 nucleotides) under Lathyrus oleraceus (garden pea). RNAcentral's name for it is "Pisum sativum (pea) long non-coding RNA (PSAT_LNC000704)". Lineage: Eukaryota; Viridiplantae; Streptophyta; Magnoliopsida; Fabales; Fabaceae. The record is from RNAcentral.
UGAUUGCUACUAUUAUUUAAUUAUGAUGAUUUAUAUAAAUAAUAGUAAUAGUUAAUAUUUAAAUAUUUAUUUUAAUUCUUAUUGUUACAGUGAUAUAUUAAAAUAAAUAUUUAAUUUUGAUGUAUUAAAAUAAAUAUUUAGUUUAUAUUUAAUAAAAUAAUAUUAUUAGAUUUUAAAUAAAAAUAGAAAACUGGUUGUUAUAAGGGAAUUGGAAGUGAGAAAAGGGGAAGUUACAUAAUACGUGAAAACUUGGGAAAAAG